AAAUUAGAAAGCGAAGAAUUGCAUUUAGUUUCGACCUAAACUUUGGUGGUACCUCUAAUU
Molecule: transfer RNA, 60 nt
Filed under: Cherax cairnsensis
Lineage: Eukaryota; Metazoa; Arthropoda; Malacostraca; Decapoda; Parastacidae
Description: tRNA-Arg
Source: RNAcentral